UUAAAGUUUUAUCCUAGCUUGUUCUUUCAUUUUUAGGUUAAUGGUACAUGUAAAUUUUAAUGUUACAAUACAUUUUGUUAAAACUAAAGGUUAACAAAUGGUCUGAAAGUAGAGGUUUCUUUAAGAAAUAAAUUCUCAGUACCUAGUGCUAAUCAAUAAAUAUACGUUAGAAUUGGUAAUCCUAAUUAUAUACCUGGUUAAAAUUUGUGCCAGCAGCCGCGGUUAGACUGAGAGGUAAAAUGAAAGAAAUUUGGUUAAAAACAGUUAUAUUUAUUAAUUUUUUUUCUUUUAAAGGACUAUAUUAAUAAAGGGUGAAAUCAGUUUUUUAAUAAAUAGUAAAAUAAAAGUCUUAAUUUUAAUUGAAG
Molecule: ribosomal RNA, 365 nt
Filed under: Penaeus monodon (black tiger shrimp)
Lineage: Eukaryota; Metazoa; Arthropoda; Malacostraca; Decapoda; Penaeidae
Description: partial 12S ribosomal RNA
Source: RNAcentral